RNAcentral lists this ribosomal RNA (275 nucleotides) under uncultured bacterium. RNAcentral's name for it is "partial 16S ribosomal RNA". It matches the Rfam family "Bacterial small subunit ribosomal RNA", at positions 399 to 691 of the family's 1533-position model. The record is from RNAcentral.
GCGUGGAUGAAGAAGGUCUUCGGAUUGUAAAGUCCUUUCGGCGGGGACGAUGAUGACGGUACCCGCAGAAGAAGCCCCGGCUAACUUCGUGCCAGCAGCCGCGGUAAUACGAAGGGGGCUAGCGUUGCUCGGAAUGACUGGGCGUAAAGGGCGCGUAGGCGGUUUGUUUAGUUAGGCGUGAAAUUCCUGGGCUCAACCUGGGGGCUGCGCUUAAUACAGGCAGACUGGAGUGUGAGAGAGGGUUGUGGAAUUCCCAGUGUAGAGGUGAAAUUCGU